This is a long non-coding RNA of Anguilla rostrata (American eel), 2457 nucleotides long. RefSeq lists it as uncharacterized. The record is from RefSeq and is a predicted model, not a curated record. The transcript is spliced from 2 exons. Lineage: Eukaryota; Metazoa; Chordata; Actinopteri; Anguilliformes; Anguillidae.
UUGUGCAGUCUGCUGAAGAAGACUUUGGUCAAAAUAUCUGUGCAUUUGUGCUUAUUUUUGAGUUUUUUAAUAAGGGAAAACUGGGUGAAUGUCCUCAUUAACCUUUAUAUCCUCCAGACUGGGGAUAAAUAGUUUCUUCCUACCCGGUGUUUGGAGGAUUAAAUUGGGCCUGGGCUCCUUGGAAUUGCUACAUCAGUUCCUCCCAUUGACGUACUGCUCAUGCAUAGGCUCACAGUCAUGUGACUGCAGGUCAUAUGACCUCAGUGGCGCUGCCAUGUGACCGGGAUGAUGUGCAGAGCUUCUGAAGGGUCUGGUACAGGUGACAGGCGGUGAGGUUACUCCUGGCCUCAACACAGUUUGGGACUGAGCUUUGCUCACUUUUUCUGUCCAGCAGAGGAGGGGGGGAGGGGUUUGGGGGUGUGCCCCCCCCCCCCCCCCGUCUGGGAUCCUCCCUGCUCCAGUUUCCUCUGGUUCCUCCUCUUCAGCCUGUUUCUGCCGCCUGCAUCUAAAUCACAGAGCUGGUUACUGCCUCUGUUUACAGCCGCUGUUUGAAAUGAGGUUCCCACAGAACAGGUGACUGAUUUUUGUUUUGGAUAGAUACAGAAUGGAAGGGUAAUGGCUUGGCUUUACCGAGAACAAAUAGUCGUAACUGUCAUUUCUAAUCACGGUCGUUCUCGUCGUAUUUUCAGACUGGAGCAUAUGAAAGGGGGAUUGUGGGAAUGAAAUAAUUUGUUUCUGUGGCUGAAUCCCUGCUUGCAAGACUCUCAAUUGCAAAAACUGUGAGUUUGAAGAGCGGUCGGCAUAUAAAAGUCUGUGAGUCCGAACUGCAGACCAGAGCAGAGCAGCUAUCCCAGCCCAACAGAGCGAAGGGCUCUCAGCGGCAACGGUGUCUAUUUUAGAAAGGAUAUCACUCACACCCCCGUUUUCAAACCCCAGGCAAGGGCCAUCUGACAGGGAGAUGUACAGCAGUGCUCUGCGGGAACCUGACCCCCCCCGCCCCCCCCCCCCCAGACACUAAUACACCCCGGAACCCAUAUCAGCUCCAAUCAGUGUUUCCUGACUUCUUGAUGAUUUUGUAGGGAUACUGCAUUGGCUGGGUGAAAUUCAUCACUGCCAAACUACCUUCACAACGUUGGUAAAAGCAGGGCAUUAUGACACAGCACCAAAAAGAUUAUGGAAAUAGGUGAUUUCAUGUUCUCUAGAAAAAAUUUAAUAUCCAAAUGACAAGAUAUAAUAAUGAGUAUACUUCUGAUAUUAGAAGGAGCACAAAGCUGAUUUGCCUCAUCUAAAACGCUUUCAAACUCAGCCCUGGGAAAGCCCUGUGUGUGUUGGAUUUGUCACAGGUUAUAUCUUUGUCAAUUUGGGCUGUUGAAAAUAUGUCUUUAAAGUACCCCUUUAAUAUGUAUUUCAAAACCUUAAAAAAAUUGUAUAUUGUUUACUAUUGUUAUUCCGCCAAAAAAGUUCAAUAAACUACUGAAAAUUUCUUUGUAGCAUCUCUUCACCUUUGCCCUCAUUAAGAAUGCUAGAAUUUAUGAAUAUGCAAAUUAGCAAUGCUUGCUGUUGUGGUCCCAGGAUAUACAGGCACGGCAUCCAGAUUCAAAAUUAAUUCCUUAGCGAAUCCCUUCGACUUCUGCAUGAGGUUCUGGAAGCAGUCAGCUGUAAAAUGUGCACUACAAGCAUGGAUUCCCUUUAUGCCGUCACAUACAUCCAAACAAUUUUUAAUAGGCAAAUUCCACGCAUUUGAGUAUUAGAAUGGGCUCUGUUGGUAACCAGUGGAACAAAGUUCCUACCUCGGGCUUACACCCUAAAACUGCACAGUCUGCCAUGCCAACACACCAACCAUCAUAACAAUGUCACUAACUAGUCUGCUUUCUGUAUGCAAAGGUUUCUGUUUACCGCAUCGCUGUCCCAUAAUUUUCAUAUCUUUGCAUAUUGGACCAUGAUAGGGUUGACAUAUUUGUGACAUCACAAAUUUUGCUCGUGUGUGUACUUUUCCGACACGAUACUGUAAAGUGGAAGAGAAAAAGGCACUCUGGUGACAAGUUCUGCUCAAAAAUCAAUCUCUAUAAUUAAAGUCAUCCUUCCAAGAGGAGUUAAUCAUUUAAAAAAAACUGAGUGGAGGGGGUCUUUAAGUUCUAAUGGUUUUGUUUUUUCACUGCAAGUUAUUCUCAUUGCCAUAUUCUCAGUCAUUGAGCUCUUUGUUCUUGAACAUGAAAAGUUUCAGGUGAUCAGGUGUGAACGCACUGAGCUGUUAGACCCCCAUUGAUUUCACCUGCUAGUCUAUAAUUGAAUUAAUUCAGAAAUGUAGCCUCUAUAAAGAAAAUAGCACAUUACAGGAAAUUAAAGGCUCUGACUGUUAAAAGUCUAGGGAUGUGGAAUAUUUAUCCUUCUUGCCACUCAUCUGUUCCUGGCAUAAUGUGAUCUUAAGAGGAUAAAUGAUCCUUCAGUAGACAUUAA